This is a long non-coding RNA of Ornithodoros turicata, 651 nucleotides long. RefSeq lists it as uncharacterized. The record is from RefSeq and is a predicted model, not a curated record. NCBI's taxonomy places the organism in Eukaryota, Metazoa, Arthropoda, Arachnida, Ixodida, Argasidae. The transcript has 4 exons.
AAAAAUCAUAUUUCUAUUUUUUUUUUUGAAGGUGCGCUAAUGUUAACAAAAGCUAAUUUGGAAUUAUUAUGUUUGCAUAUUUUGCGCGUUCCUGCUCCCCUGAUGAAUGACGCGUUUGAACAAGAUGUAACGGUCGCUUGCUGCUUCAAGAUGCAGCGUUCGCGCUUGUCUGCCGUGUUUUGACUUUUCGCGUUCGUCUCGGCAUGUCCCAAGUGACAUUUUUGCUCUUAAUGUUAUUAGCGUGACAUGCGACAAUAUAAAUUACAGUGAGCGUCAUCGGCUUCAGUACGACCAGACAGGUGUCAUGCGAUUGCGGCUCUGUUGCAGCUGCGAAGACUGCUUCAUCAUCCUUCACACGGAAAACACUGGUUGCUCUAGAAUCCGCAUAGCUCACCAGAGUACUCGUGGCGUGGAUCGGAAAAGCAUGACGACUGCGAAGCAAUAUGUCGGACUCCACAAGCGCCUUCUGUAACGGGGGAUACACAGGAAAGCUCUAUACGUAGAAAACCAACUGAUGACAUGACUUCCACGGCUGCCCGGAAUGCUUCCUGUUUUCCUCAACCGUUUCUGUAAAGUCAGUGAGAAACUGCAUCGUGAAAUACAAAAUGUCUGUUUCAGAAGUGCACAAUAAAAUAAUUCAUGUUUAUUUCA